This 3245-nucleotide long non-coding RNA is filed under the name Zostera marina. RNAcentral describes it as "long non-coding RNA (ZMAR_LNC002506)". The record is from RNAcentral. Lineage: Eukaryota; Viridiplantae; Streptophyta; Magnoliopsida; Alismatales; Zosteraceae.
UUCCGCCGUCUCAAAUGUUCCAAGCCAAACACGAGUAGCCUGCUUUGGGUUACGUAUCUCCGCCACCCAUUUCCCCCACGGUCGCCGCCUCACGCCUCUGUAAUUCUUCUUCUUCUUCUUCUUCUUAAAAUUAUCACUGUUGUUGCCUCUGUUAUUUUUCUCACGAUCGGAUUCUCCUUCGACUGCGGUGGAUCGGGGAAUGGGAAUGACAGGUGCCGGUGUCGUGUAAUUCGAGAUAAUGUGGAGGAGAGUCGAUGUGAUUAUCGAGCUUUCCUGAUCUAAUGUCAUCCCGAAUGGCUGCAACGGAGACAGAGGCGGUAACGACGGUAUAAUCGGUAACGACGGAGACAGAGGCGGGAAUGGCGAUUCUUCCGGUAUAAUCGGUAACGACGGUAAGGGUUUUGAUUUGGGAAUAUUUGAUUUCUGUCCGACCAUUUAUUUUCCACUGCAUCAGUCGAAGGGUGUUGUUAUCUUAUCUAUAUAUAGAUGAUUAUUGGAGGUGGAAUUUAGAUGAAUUUUUGAUAGUGGAUAUGUGGGUCCCAUACUCCCAUGACAACCGAUCUUAGCUGUUAAAUUUUUAAUGAUACACGUACACACGCGUAUUCACAUAUAUGGAGACAGAAAGAAAACGUGUGAAAAAUUUGAAACAUGUUUAUUUUUGUAUCUAAACACGAAUGCCACGCUAAUUAAGCGCCAGGUGUCGUUUUUUUUUCACACCUGAAAAUUAAGAUAUCUGUGUGUGUUUUUUAUUGUUUUUUUUAUAAGUUACUUAAUCAUAAAUUAAAAAUAAUUAAAAUAUUUUUACAAAGAUAAAGUUAAAAUAAUGAAAUCAAAUAACAAUAAGACAUUAUAGUAAAUUUAAAACCAACUUUAAUUAACCGAGGUUUUCUCUGCUCCUUUCAGGUUCCUUCAUGUUUAGCAUAACAAAAAUAUUCCAAUGUUGAUAAGUCAUUGUCUCAUUCUUGCAUUUGUGUGAUUUCUUGUAACGUUGUUUUUUGAAUCCCCAUUAUGUAGUAUGAAUGAUCUGUUUUAUAAUCAUACCUUCAUUCAGAUAAAUGUCAGUAGCUUUUCUUGUAUUGCGUUUUUUUCCAUAUGUUUCAAUAACUACUGAUAGAAGUGUCCAAUGAAUUCCCCAGAUGGAAGAGUUGAUUUUUAAUUUAUCAAUUUUAGCACCCAUAGAACUGAAGUCGAUGCAGUUGUUUUGCUGAAUUAAUCCUCCCAAAACCAGUAGACAGUUUCCGAUUAUAUUCCUGGUGUAACAACAUGAGUAAAAAAUAUGAUUGAUUGAUUCAGUUUUUCUUCUACAGAGGUAACAUAUCCCGUCUGAUUGUAGUCUCUUAAUUAUGAGUCUAUCGAGUGUUGGCAAUUUCGCCCACCUCAUUCGCCAAAGGAAAUUCUCAACUUUAGGAAUCUUAGAAGCCCAUAUACCCAGUGAUAAAGGAUUUCACUGGCCUCUCGGUCUAAUUGUUUCAUGAACAUUUUUUAACGAGAAAUUAUCGUCACUGCCCCACCCACUUAAGCCUCCCAUCCUUGGAAUCAAGUAGACCCAGAGAUCAAAAAAAAAAUUAUAAUGUUAAGUAAACAGAAAUUAAAGUGCAUAUAUGCACUAAUCUUCAACCACUUUAAUCAAGUUGUCUUCAUUAUCUGACAUUAUUAUUUUUAACCAAACACUUCCUAAUCUUUUUUUUUAAUUAAAUCCCAUUAUGCCAGUUUCUAUUAAAUAAUUUAAAAUAGUUUACACAUAUUAUAUAUUUUUUUCAUUUGGACUAAAAAUUAGUUACGUUUGAAGAAAAUUGCUAAGUCAACCGCUGCUAUGUGAGGUUCUCCCACCAACUGCUUGUUUCGCUCUUUUUGUUCUGUGAGAUUCUCCCAAACCUUAAUAUUUGUCUUAGCAAAUAACAAUGUAUAACUAAUUUCUUAAACAUACUCCACCUUAAUUAAAAAAAUUGUCAUUGUCAAAUACCAUCCACCUCAAUUAAGCACUUUAUAAAUUAAUAUCAUCAUGUUGAUUUUAUAUAAAAAUGAUGUUGAAAUUUGAAAAUACUUUUGUGUGGAAUUUUCUCUUUUAUGUGGAAUUUCCUAUCUUUAAUAUGUUGAAUUAAAUCAUAUAUUUCAAUUUUUUUUUGAUAAAAGUAAAUAAAAAUUAAAAUAAAUGUACUGAGACUCGAAUUCUGUAGUCAUUACUUUGUAUUGAUCUUAAAUAUCUUUGUCUUUUGUUGUAAAUGAUUUGUUAAUAAACCAACUAUAUUAUAAUCACUAUUAAUCUUCACCAUGUGAGAACCAAACUAUGGUUCUAUGCUAACCAUGGUUAGAAAUUAACCAUUAGUUUAAGUGUUUAAUAAACAAUUACUUAGCUUAACAAAAAAAUUUGAUUGAUACUCUUGUUCUUCUUGUAUAAAUAUCCAACCAAGCAUUGUACCGUUCUGAUUGAUUUGAUACAAAGUAUACAUUUAAAUUCGUUACCGUCUUCAUAUGAUAUCAGGUGGUUACUUCUAACACAGGAUCGGAAGAGGUCAUCUUGAAUGGCAGAAAGGAAUGUUGUUGUAAAGGUGAAUGUUUUACCUACGAGAUUCAGCAUCCUAUCCCUGGUUUUCUACCCCCUUCCAAAACGAAAUCGGGAUCAAUUUCCAUGAUUUCGAUCAUCUGAAUGGAACUUAUGUUCCACCGUACAUAUAACCGUCGGCGAUGAUAUGCUUCCCAAUCUCCAAUUUAAUCGAUGGUUGAAAGAGAAUCACUUAAUUGUUGGCUGGAUUAAUCUGAUAUGUUUGGUCAGUCAUCAAGAAUGAAGUUUUUGCCCUAGCGGCUUGGCGGAAACUGAAAGCGACAUUAUUACCAGACACAUCAAGGAUCAAAACUUCGCAGGUCGAAGAAGACUUCGGAUCUGACUAUCUAAUAAUCAAGUUUAUUAAAAAUUCAAAACCAAGAUAAUAAGAGAAAUUAAAAACUAAAAAACAGUAUUGUUCAGAAUUGUAGAUAUUCAAUAACAAAGUUACAAAAUACAGGAAAAUGUAUUUAAAUUAAAAAAAAUGUAUUGAAGAGGUUCGUGUUAUAAUAUGACAUUACAAUAUUCAUUGACCAGAGUUUUUUCACUCCUAUUGUUUAAGACCCACUACACAAAAACGAUGAGACAUAGUUCGUUUUAAAAAAUAUCGAGUCAGUUUUCAAAAAUUGUUGAAGACUUAAACGAUCGUAAGAUCACUUGGUUUGAUCAAUACGGAAGGUGUAAGAUGAAUUGCAUUUGAUCA